UCCAAGCCAAACAGCUAGGAGACAGACAGCAGCCCAGAAAAUCUCAGCCGCUGCUGCGGGAGGGCCCUGCUGGCGGCGGGGCAGCUGGGACCGGGCUAACGAGAGAAAGGCAGCAGAGCCAACCUCGCUGGGGCUUCACUCAGUGGCCAGACUCUGGGAAGGAGGCAUGAUCCUCGGACCAGGCCACUGCGUUUAGGCUCCGAUCUAAGUACUGAUUCAUACAGACGGCUGCCUCAGAAGAAUUGCCUCCAUUCUUUCGGUUGGAAAAGAAUACUAUCCUACACUUACGCGGAUGCCCUGAAAACAAUUGUGGUUACCUCGCAGAGAACACCCGGCCUUGCAGCAAUGCCUGGUGGCUUUGGCAUUGGAUCUUCAGGGGAGCAAAUGGACAGAAGGUAGUGGGCAGAGUGCUGGGUCAGCAGGCAGGUGGCCAUGGUGCAGAAACCUUCCCAGGGGCCGGCCACACUCAGGUCAAGGAAGAUGUGGAGUUUGGAAGCACCAGGAUUCUGUGUGAUCGGAAUCAUUCAUUCAUUCAGCAGGCACUGAGUUGGAGCACAAGGGGACAGUGGAGUCCAGAAAACUAAGAUGUCCUCACCCAGCAGUUUAUGCUUCAGCAGAGAACAUAGAAAUUAAGCAACUACACAAAUAAUUAUUCAGUCACAAAUGUAGAACUUAAAUUCUCCCUUCUCUAUGACGUCAUUCAUUUUUUCCCCUCUACCCUUUCAUUCCUACCAGCCUACAAAUGUACCAUAAUUUCUCCCAUUUUAAAAAAAAUCCACUUUAAUCCUGCAUCUCCCUCUAGCCAUCAUAACAUUUCUCAGCUUCCCCUUUUGGCCAAGCUAUUCACAAGAGUCAUCUGUAUUUCCUGUCUUCAAUAUCUGUCCUUCUGUUCCCAUCAACCCCACCCCAAUCCUUCUGUCUCCUCCACAAUUCACUUGAAGCUGUCCUUUCAAGCUCCUCGAGGACAUCCACAUUGCUUGAUCUACUGAGCCAUUCUUGGUCCUGAGCUUAUCCACAUGCAGCUUUUAGGUGAGCAUGACAUGGUGUUAAAGACCAAGAACUCUGAGCCAGACUGAGUUCCAAUCCCAGCUCCAGUAGUGUGAACUAUGUGACUGAGUAAGUUCAUCUGCAAAAUAGACAUAAUAAAAGAACGUACCUGUUAGGAAGACUAUCAUGAUACAAUGAGUUGAUGUAUGUAAAAGACUCAGAACAGUGACAGGCACAUUGUAAACUCUAUGUAAGUUAUAAUACUAAUAGCAGUAAUUAAUAGCAUUGGUCACUCCCACGUUCUUCAUUUGGCUUCCAGGAUACCAUACCUGCCUGGCUUUCCUCCUGGCUUUUCAUUGGUCUCCUUUGCCAAUCUCCUGUCAUCUCCCCAAUCUAGAGAACUCGGGUGCCCCAAAACUUGGUCUUUGAACAUCUCUCCUCCUGGGAUUUCAUUUAGUCUCAUGUCUUCAAGUGCCAUCUGAAUGUUGACACUCCCAGUUUUGUAUCCCCAGUAUCAAGUCCCAAGUUGGUCUGAUUGCUUUCUAGACCUUUAGGUUUCCUAGGCAUCUCAGACUCAGCCUUCUUGCUGUUCUGGACCUCAUCAGGCAUGCUCUUACCUGGAGAGCACUUUCCCAGAUAGCUAAGGGGUUAUUUCUUCACUCCUUCCCAGUCUCAUUUGUUGCCUUCUCAAUGAGGCUUUCUCUGAUCAUCCCAAAACGCUACCAACUCCAUGCCUUAUUAACCUCCUCUGCUUUAUUUUUUUUUCUCCAUUGUAUUUACAAGCUCCAAAUAUACUAUAGAUCAUACAUAUGUAUUUAUUGUUCUGUCUUCCCCAUGUCUGUUCACUGCUAUAUCUCUAGCACCUUGAUCUUGCAUAGUAUAUAAUUAAAUGCUGAAU
Long non-coding RNA from Equus caballus (horse), 1885 nucleotides. The record is from Ensembl. NCBI's taxonomy places the organism in Eukaryota, Metazoa, Chordata, Mammalia, Perissodactyla, Equidae.